GGCGAUGUAGCUCAGAUGGUGAGAGCAUGCGGCUCAUAUCCGCAGUGUCCGGGGUUCAAGUCCCUGCAUCGCCACCA
This 77-nucleotide transfer RNA is filed under the name Desulfocarbo indianensis. RNAcentral's name for it is "tRNA-Met". It matches the Rfam family "tRNA". From Rfam's summary of the family: Transfer RNA (tRNA) molecules are approximately 80 nucleotides in length. Their secondary structure includes four short double-helical elements and three loops (D, anti-codon, and T loops). RNAcentral also lists the same sequence under 4 other names. The record is from RNAcentral. Lineage: Bacteria; Pseudomonadati; Thermodesulfobacteriota; Desulfarculia; Desulfarculales; Desulfarculaceae.